Long non-coding RNA from Silurus meridionalis, 641 nucleotides. RefSeq lists it as uncharacterized. Lineage: Eukaryota; Metazoa; Chordata; Actinopteri; Siluriformes; Siluridae. The record is from RefSeq and is a predicted model, not a curated record. The transcript is spliced from 2 exons.
GAUGAAACGCUUCACACAGGCUUCCCUAUAGAUCUCACUAAAACAAUAACUGUACAAAUUUACUCGCGACGGCUGGGAAUUAAACACUACUGCUUCACCGACUAAAGAAGUCCUCUAUCGCGAGUAUCAAAGAUUUAAGUUCACUUUUUGAUAUGGUGGAAUAGUAAGAAAAAUAGCAAUGACAUUCAAACAACCCAAUAUCACUACUAAAAUACUAUUGCAGACAUGAGGCAACGAUGCAAGUAGAGAUGUUCCUAAUGAACAUCUCUAAUAGGUAUGGAGUGUGGAAUAGUUCAUGUUUUAAUCUUUUUGAAAGAUGAUUAUUAAAAGAUAUUAAAGAUAAAAGAAACACAUUUUAGUGUUUUUUUAGUGCUGUCACAUGUGUAAUUAGCUUAUUAGGUAGAUCAGGUGUAUAACAUUGAAAUUAAGAGAUGAACGAGUGUGGGGAUGUUUUUUUUUUUUUUUUAUGUCCCCAUUAUUAUGUGUUUAUCAUGCAUAAAAAUAUAUGUUGUGGUAUACAGCCAAAUCAGUAAAUUCUAAGUAAUGUAUGUGUGAAUAGAACCAUCACAGUUAAAGCAGUAAUGAACACAACAGAUCUUGUUUCUUGUGAUUUGUCAAGAGUAAUAAAUGCUAUAAAUGCA